Molecule: long non-coding RNA, 539 nt
Organism: Gadus macrocephalus (Pacific cod)
Lineage: Eukaryota; Metazoa; Chordata; Actinopteri; Gadiformes; Gadidae
Exons: 2
Source: RefSeq, a predicted model, not a curated record
UCCUCUGCCUGCUCGUGGUCACGGUGCCUGGGUCUCCCACCCAUGGCCGUCAGUAUUGGUUCAUAGACUCACCACUAGGUCCAUGGCGGUCAGUAUUGGUUCAGGGCCUCACCACUAGAUCCAUGCCCGUCAGAAUUGGUUCAGGGCCCUCAGGCCUUCUGAGUUAUUCUGCUAUAGCACUCCGGAGCUCGCGCUAACCGUCUUCUCCCUGAGACCAGUCCGACCGCCGGCCGGGGCUACCCACAUGCUGCCUGACCCCCCUCCUCUGGGCCCUGCCAUUCAUAUUCAUAUUUGUUGCCCUCGGUCGCUGACAGAACCAUCUGAUCUUAAAGGGGACAGGUUAUACCACCAGUAAGUGUGAGUGUGAUUAGCCCUAGGGCUGCUCGAUUGUGGAAAGAAUCAUAAUCACGAUUAUUUUGGUCAAUAUUAAAACGAUUAUUUUUGAGUUUGAAAACAUGAUGUAUUUAUUCAGCAAGUCUCUCCCAAAAACACUUUGUAACUGAGGACUUUUAAAUUUUGCCUUGAAAAACGACACAAAA